AAUUUCUUCAGUUGCAUGAGUUUGAUGAUUGGCUAUCUUUGGCAUGUGCAUGCAAUGUGUCCCCUUCAAAUCCUGUUACAGUACUGGCACAUUCCAUGUCUGACA
This is a small nucleolar RNA of Octodon degus (degu), 105 nucleotides long. RefSeq annotates it as small nucleolar RNA U13. The transcript has a single exon. The record is from RefSeq and is a predicted model, not a curated record. NCBI's taxonomy places the organism in Eukaryota, Metazoa, Chordata, Mammalia, Rodentia, Octodontidae.